UUUUUUCUUUUCUCUUUAAAUUAAGGGUUUGUAGUACGCAAUACGUCACUUUUGGUUCAUAUAGUUGAACUUUAUUUUGUAAAAUAUCCUAGUUCUAGUUUAUUUGAAAAUAUGUUUGAGUUCGUUGCUCCAUUUGGUUAAUUGGGUGUAUUUCUCAACAAAAUUUGUGUGUUGUACUUCAUUUAUCUUUUAUAAAUUUCUUAUUUUUUUUGUUUGAGCGUAUUUGUUAAAAAUUUAUAAGCAUCAUAGAGUCAGGCCCACAGUUGUUCGAGCCCUAAUCUCAAU
RNAcentral lists this long non-coding RNA (285 nucleotides) under Prunus persica (peach). Its description in RNAcentral is "long non-coding RNA (PPER_LNC005702)". The record is from RNAcentral. Lineage: Eukaryota; Viridiplantae; Streptophyta; Magnoliopsida; Rosales; Rosaceae.